This 77-nucleotide transfer RNA is filed under the name Dehalococcoidia bacterium SG8_51_3. RNAcentral's name for it is "tRNA-Val". It matches the Rfam family "tRNA". From Rfam's summary of the family: Transfer RNA (tRNA) molecules are approximately 80 nucleotides in length. Lineage: Bacteria; Bacillati; Chloroflexota; Dehalococcoidia. RNAcentral also lists the same sequence under 2 other names. The record is from RNAcentral.
GGGCGGUUAGCUCAGUUGGUUAGAGCGCUGCGUUGACAUCGCAGAGGUCAGAGGUUCAAAUCCUCUACUGCCCACCA